RNAcentral lists this ribosomal RNA (407 nucleotides) under Verrucomicrobiota bacterium. RNAcentral describes it as "Verrucomicrobia bacterium partial 16S ribosomal RNA". It matches the Rfam family "Bacterial small subunit ribosomal RNA", at positions 355 to 776 of the family's 1533-position model. The record is from RNAcentral. Lineage: Bacteria; Pseudomonadati; Verrucomicrobiota.
UGGGGAAUAUUGGACAAUGGAGGAAACUCUGAUCCAGCAAUUCUGUGUGUGUGAAGAAGGUUUUAGGACUGUAAAACACUUUUAGUAGGGAAGAAAAAAAUGACGGUACCUACAGAAGAAGCAACGGCUAAAUACGUGCCAGCAGCCGCGGUAAUACGUAUGUUGCGAGUGUUAUCCGGAAUUAUUGGGCUUAAAGGGCAUCUAGGCGGUAAGACAGGUUGAAGGUGAAAACCUGUGGCUCAACCAUAGGCUUGCCUACAAAACUGUUGAACUAGAGUACUGGAAAGGUGGGUGGAACUACACGAGUAGAGGUGAAAUUCGUAGAUAUGUGUAGGAAUGCCGAUGAUGAAGAUAACUCACUGGACAGAAACUGACGCUGAAGUGCGAAAGCUAGGGGAGCAAACAGG